This 427-nucleotide ribosomal RNA is filed under the name uncultured Luteibacter sp. Its description in RNAcentral is "bacterial SSU rRNA". It matches the Rfam family "Bacterial small subunit ribosomal RNA", at positions 355 to 774 of the family's 1533-position model. Lineage: Bacteria; Pseudomonadati; Pseudomonadota; Gammaproteobacteria; Lysobacterales; Rhodanobacteraceae. The record is from RNAcentral.
UGGGGAAUAUUGGACAAUGGGCGCAAGCCUGAUCCAGCAAUGCCGCGUGUGUGAAGAAGGCCUUCGGGUUGUAAAGCACUUUUAUCAGGAGCGAAAUCUGCAGGGCUAAUACCCAUGCAGUCUGACGGUACCUGAGGAAUAAGCACCGGCUAACUCCGUGCCAGCAGCCGCGGUAAUACGGAGGGUGCAAGCGUUAAUCGGAAUUACUGGGCGUAAAGCGUGCGUAGGCGGUUCGUUAAGUCUGUUGUGAAAGCCCCGGGCUCAACCUGGGAAUGGCAAUGGAUACUGGCGAGCUAGAGUGUGUCAGAGGAUGGUGGAAUUCCCGGUGUAGCGGUGAAAUGCGUAGAGAUCGGGAGGAACAUCAGUGGCGAAGGCGGCCAUCUGGGACAACACUGACGCUGAGGCACGAAAGCGUGGGGAGCAAACA